CCUACGGGUGGCAGCAGUGGGGGAUAUUGCACAAUGGGGGAAACCCUGAUGCAGCGACGCCGCGUGUGGGAAGACGGUCCUCUGGAUUGUAAACCACUGUCCCCAGGGACGAAGAUGACGGUACCUGGGGAGGAAGCUCCGGCUAACUACGUGCCAGCAGCCGCGGUAAUACGUAGGGAGCAAGCGUUGUCCGGAAUUACUGGGUGUAAAGGGAGCGUAGGCGGGAUGGCAAGUUGGGUGUUAAAUCUACCGGCUCAACUGGUAGUCGCACUCAAAACUGCUAUUCUUGAGUGAAGUAGAGGCAGGCGGAAUUCCAGGGGUAGCGGUGAAAUGCGUAAAUAUUAGGAGGAACACCAGUGGCGAAGGCGGGCUGCUGGGCUUUUACUGACGCUGAGGCUCGAAAGUGUGGGGAGCAAACAGGAUUAGAUACCCGAGUAGUC
Molecule: ribosomal RNA, 440 nt
Filed under: uncultured bacterium
Lineage: Bacteria
Description: partial 16S ribosomal RNA
Rfam family: Bacterial small subunit ribosomal RNA
Source: RNAcentral